AUUGUUAAUUACUCCCCGUAGACGUUUCAGUAGCUUGCUAGCUACAAAUAAUAUUUUGACAACAAUGGACGAGAGGAAUGUUUACAAUGUUACACCACACAGGCGUCGUCACAAUCAAAUGGUACCCCCGGAAACAAUAUAAAAGUGUUUACGUAACGGUAUCUAGCUAACUGUAGACUAACUUGCACGAAAUACAAUACGAGUAAAAUACCAAAAUAAGCCUUAGCCUCACGAGACUCCAAGAGUGGAACCAUGGAAGUGGUGCGGUUAUUUACAGACCUACUAGCAGUGCACAGACAGCAGCUACAAGCCCUGACUGUACAGGGAGAGAUCCAGACUCUAUGGUACAGUUACUGGAGAAGGAGGUGCUCAGGAGAAUGGAGCCCAAUGUGAAGCUGGAGGAAGUGGAGGAUCAAGCCUGAGCCCAGUCAGGGCAGAACAGAGACUACAGCAGCAGGGCUUCAGCUCUAUAAGGUACGACCCAGAGAGACCGCAAGGGAGCUGGGGAAAGGGCUGGAGAGUGCUGCCCAUUACUGGUUCCGAGGAGGACAGCUGUGAAUGUGGUGAGGUGUGUGGCCCUGCAGAGUUCUGUAUCCCUUCUCCCCAAAGACGUUGGAGACUGAGUGCUGAAACAGUGCCCCCAGGAGAUGGAGGAAAAUAUCUGCAUGGCUAAGGAGUACCUGAACAACACACCUGGGGAGAAGAGCAGUGAGAUGGACAACCACUCUGAUGGAGAAGGGUACUCUGUAGACCAACAGAGAGAAGAAACAGCAGGGUAUGGACAGAUCAUGUUUUGAGUAUUUCUUACACUCAUAUGUUGCCUACAAAUAUUGUGGGUUUAUUGGAAUGCAUUUGUUGAUAUGUCUAUUUCAAUUUUUAAGACAUGCAGAACCUAACGUUAACUGUGAGAAGAUUAAAGUCACAGGGCUGUGCCCAGGGUUGUUUCUGAAGAGGAUAGAUGUGUCGAGUCUGCCUGUACUUUAGUUUCAAUAUAGAUGCCAGACAUCUGGAUGACAUUUACAGUGAGGAUAGGAGACUUGAUGGGGAAGAUGAUUUUGCUGAACAUGAGGACUGGGUUAAGGAGGAGAUAAAAUACAAUAGCCAGUCUGAAGUAAAGGUUGAGAUCGGGUCAGCCACUGAGAUGGGACAGUCUAUUGACAUGGCUAGAAAUACUGAGAAGGUUGAGAGGGGUCAGCUAAGAAACAUAGCAAAUCAGAUGCCUGUCUCUGGGAGGGCCAAGAGAUGUGUAUCUGCCCAUCAUCUCCUCGUCCAGCCCUAACACUGCUGAGACCCUCUCCUACCUGAAACGUAAAAACAAAAGGUCCCUCCCAUAGACCAAGCCACUGCUGUCCUGACUGUGGUAAGAACUACAAACAGGCUGACUUUGUCAGUAAACACAGUUGCAGUGCCUUCCCUAAAUUCCACUGACUGUGACCAAACCUUUACUUCUCAGACAUGCCUGACCCACCACCCCAGAAUCAAUAAUACGGUUGUGGGCUGCCCUGAGUGUGGAAAGCAGUUCAGGGACAAGUAUUAUCAGAAAUGUUACGAGGACCCACACAGGUGAGACCACUUAUACAUGUAUAGACUGCGGGGACGUCUGUUUUCAGCUGAAAGGGCUGCAGGAGAAACAGCAACAUCUACACAGAAAAAGGCUGCAGUGUGUGUGGGAGGGCUUCCAUCACAGCCACAACCUGACAAAACACAAGCUUCUUCACUCCCAGGCAAAGCCCUUCCUCUGUACCCGCUGUGGAAAGAGCUUUAACCUCAAUGACAAGAUGCUGAGGCAUCUGAGGACGGUGCACGAUGAAAGCAUGUUCCCUUGGAUGUGGUACAGCGGAAGGGCAUCUUCCCCUAACCCUGCCUUGUGUCACGUUCUGACCUUUAUUUCCUUUGUUUUGUAUCUAUUUAGUACGGUCAGGGGGUGUCAGUUGGGUGGGAAGUCUGUUUGUUUUUCUAUGAUUUGGGGAUUUGUAUGUUUCGGCCUAGUAUGGUUCUCAAUCAGAGGCAGGUGUCAUUAGUUGUCUCUCAUUGAGAAUCAUACUUAGGUAGCUUGGGUUGCACUGUUUGUUUGUGGGUGAUUGUCUAUGUUGAUUGCUUGUGUCAUCACAGUUCUCAUUUAGCUUCACGGUCAUUUUGUUUAUUGUUUUUGUAUUCAGUGUUCAGUACUUUAAUUAAAUAUCAAGAAGAACACAAACCACGCCGCGUUUUGGUCCGCCUUCCCUUCAACAGAAGAAUCCCGUGACACCUUGUUAAUAAUGCUUACAUCUCAGAUCCUUUCAACUGCUUUAGUCCCAAACCAGCUAACUCAAUUACUCCAUAUGUUCAACAAUAAACAUUUAACAUCAGC
Oncorhynchus keta (chum salmon) is the source of this 2350-nucleotide long non-coding RNA. RefSeq lists it as uncharacterized. The transcript is spliced from 2 exons. Lineage: Eukaryota; Metazoa; Chordata; Actinopteri; Salmoniformes; Salmonidae. The record is from RefSeq and is a predicted model, not a curated record.